Picea glauca (white spruce) is the source of this 82-nucleotide non-coding RNA. The record is from Rfam. NCBI's taxonomy places the organism in Eukaryota, Viridiplantae, Streptophyta, Pinopsida, Pinales, Pinaceae.
GAUAGUUUGGCCGAGUGGUUCAAGACCCCAGAUUUAGCCUCUGGCCACCGAAAGGGCGUGGGUUCAAAUCCUACAAUCAUCA